This 77-nucleotide transfer RNA is filed under the name Legionellales bacterium. RNAcentral describes it as "tRNA-Met". It matches the Rfam family "tRNA". Rfam says of the family: Transfer RNA (tRNA) molecules are approximately 80 nucleotides in length. Their secondary structure includes four short double-helical elements and three loops (D, anti-codon, and T loops). Lineage: Bacteria; Pseudomonadati; Pseudomonadota; Gammaproteobacteria; Legionellales. The record is from RNAcentral.
GGGCCGAUAGCUCAGUUGGUUAGAGCACCUGACUCAUAAUCUGGCGGUCGCUGGUUCGAGACCAGCUCGGCCCACCA